GCCUUCGUGGUGUAACGGUAGCACACUCGGCGCAUAUUCGAAAGGUCCAGGUUCGAGUCCCGGCGAGGGCA
This 71-nucleotide transfer RNA is filed under the name Stegodyphus mimosarum. It matches the Rfam family "tRNA". Rfam says of the family: Transfer RNA (tRNA) molecules are approximately 80 nucleotides in length. The record is from Rfam by way of RNAcentral. Lineage: Eukaryota; Metazoa; Arthropoda; Arachnida; Araneae; Eresidae.